RNAcentral lists this long non-coding RNA (218 nucleotides) under Eucalyptus grandis. RNAcentral's name for it is "long non-coding RNA (EGRA_LNC007370)". The record is from RNAcentral. Lineage: Eukaryota; Viridiplantae; Streptophyta; Magnoliopsida; Myrtales; Myrtaceae.
UGAUUACUGAGCUGACUCUAGACUUGCGAUUUUCUGAUUUCUGAUCUCAUCUCAACCAACUGAAAUCCUGUACACUCUGCUUUGCACCGAUUAAAAAGAAACUAUCUAACUGAUCUGCUGAAACUGGGAAUCUCUGGUCAAGAUCUGAUAUAACUCUGGCACUGAUCUUGGUAACUGCAAUCACUGACUACUGUACUGUCUUUGGCCUGAAAUCUUCU